Molecule: small nuclear RNA, 163 nt
Filed under: Pogona vitticeps (central bearded dragon)
Lineage: Eukaryota; Metazoa; Chordata; Lepidosauria; Squamata; Agamidae
Description: U1 spliceosomal RNA (ENSPVIG00000000635.1)
Rfam family: U1 spliceosomal RNA
About the family: U1 is a small nuclear RNA (snRNA) component of the spliceosome (involved in pre-mRNA splicing). Its 5' end forms complementary base pairs with the 5' splice junction, thus defining the 5' donor site of an intron.
Source: RNAcentral
AUAUUUUCCAUGAGAAAUGCUGGGUCAUAAAAAUGGUUUUCCUAGGGGGAAAAAAAUCAUCCAUUGUAUUUGGGGUGUGCUGCUGGUCCCUGUGAUUUCCCAAACUGUGGGGAGCUCAAUUGUAUAAUUUUUAUUAGUGGGAGAUUGUUAUAAUUAACCCUGG